AUAUCUCUCUCUCUCUCUCUCUCUCUCUCUCUCUAUCUCUCUCUCUCUCCAUAAAAAAUAAAAUAAAAUAAACCUCCCAAACUCUCAAGUCUCUUCUCCAUAAAAAAUAAAAUAAAAUAAACCUCCCAAACUCUCAAGUCUCUUAUCAAUGGCUUCUGCCACCAUAACAUUCCCAAUCGUCAUCACCACCGAGUCUCUAGACUCCCUCCUCUCUCACCAAACUCUGAUAAAUCAUUUCCAAUCUUCACUUCCCACAGUCUCAGCUUCUC
RNAcentral lists this long non-coding RNA (269 nucleotides) under Prunus persica (peach). RNAcentral's name for it is "long non-coding RNA (PPER_LNC002852)". The record is from RNAcentral. Lineage: Eukaryota; Viridiplantae; Streptophyta; Magnoliopsida; Rosales; Rosaceae.